This is a long non-coding RNA of Parus major (Great Tit), 562 nucleotides long. RefSeq lists it as uncharacterized. NCBI's taxonomy places the organism in Eukaryota, Metazoa, Chordata, Aves, Passeriformes, Paridae. The transcript has 2 exons. The record is from RefSeq and is a predicted model, not a curated record.
AAAAAGAAAAAGAGAAAAAGAAAAAGAAAAAGGAAAAAGAAGAAGAAAAAGAAGAAGAAGGAGAGGGAAAGGUAGCCAUCACCUUUCUCACACAGCAGUGUGUUCUCAGUAGCUUUUGAAUCCAGGGUAUUGGAGAGCACCUCGUAGCACAAGCUUAUGCUGAUUUCAGUGCCAGUCUCGUGCCUGCACAAGCCAGAACAUUCCCAGCUGGCCCUUGCAGCUGACCACCCCCAUUGCAGUGGUGCUCAGCACUGACUUUUCCAAUGCUCUCACACCUCACAGCACAGCGGAGAAGGCUCAAGGGUGUCGGGGUGAGCAGAGCGCUGUCCCACCUAUGGCUGAGCUCCCACUGUUCCCCAGCCUCUCCUCCAGUCUCCUGCAGACUGUUAAAAGAAAGUGAGCUCCAUCCCAGCCAAAGUCAGCACUUUCCCCUUACAAAAUGAACAGCUAGAUUGAUUAUGCUGAGAAGUAGAAGAGAUAUUAUGGUAGAGGACUGACCUUGUCUGAAUGCCAGAUGUCCACCAAGACACUGUCACUCCCUCUUCUCAGCUGGACAGGAAAG